Cucurbita pepo subsp. pepo (vegetable marrow) is the source of this 667-nucleotide non-coding RNA. The record is from RefSeq and is a predicted model, not a curated record. NCBI's taxonomy places the organism in Eukaryota, Viridiplantae, Streptophyta, Magnoliopsida, Cucurbitales, Cucurbitaceae.
CGGUUCAACUGCAAAAUGGUUUAAAAUCUCCUCGCUCACCCACGUUUUUGCCGAUAGAGUUUCCGAAAACACGGCCUUCAGUAUACACAACAUCUUCCUCGUUCGCUAGCGAUUAAAAUCCCCCAAUUUUCAGUUUCAGAGAGCAGCGAAACCAUGGGAGGAGGUGAACAUGGAGAAGCCCAUGGUGACUUUAGGGCUAAGGUUUGGAGCAUGAGCGGAGGACCUUAUUGCCGGCCCAAGCAUUGGAAACGCAAUACCGCCAUUGCCAUGGCUGGCAUCGUUCUCGUCUGCAUUCCUGUUGCUAUGAAAUCUGCAGAGCUUGAGCAACGGCCGCACAAUCCUGUUCGGCCAAUUCCCUCACAGCUCUGGUGCAAGAAUUUUGGAAACAAGGAGUACUAAAUCUGUCGUCUGAAAAUUGAGUACAGAAAAUGUGAGUCAAGAACUGCGUUGUUGAUUUUGCAGUUCAAAAGGAGACUAAUUUUUCAGCAAGUGUUAUAUUUUUCCAGUUAACGUCACUCUUGUAAUAGGUUAUCGCCUUCUACUAAAAAUUGUUAGUGACCAAAAUAAGCUGGUGUUCGUUUUGUACGUGUCUCCAUAAGGAGCAGAAGGAAGAAAUUGUGUGUAGUUUGGAUGGUUCAAAUUUAAUAUCAUCUUCAUUUUUCAUUGA